GGAUGUGAAGGCGAUCUGGCUGCGACAUCUGUCACCCCAUUGAUCACCAGGGUUGAUUUGGCUGAUCUGGCUGGCUGGGAGGGUGUCUCCUUCUUCCCUCACUGCUCCAUGUGUGUCCCUCCUGAAGCUGCACAAUGGGUCAAAGAGGAUGACCAUCCCUGAUAGAGGAGGACUGGUCUUCCGUCAAGGGUAUCUGAGUAGCUGCACUUCCCUGCUAGAACCUCCAAACAAGCUCUCAAGGUCCAAGUCACCAUCAGCAGGUGACCUACUUAGCUGAACACGUCAGGCUCCUGA
Dipodomys ordii (Ord's kangaroo rat) is the source of this 294-nucleotide unclassified non-coding RNA. Its record names the gene 7SK. It matches the Rfam family "7SK RNA". Rfam says of the family: 7SK was discovered as an abundant small nuclear RNA in the mid-70s but a possible function has only recently been suggested. Lineage: Eukaryota; Metazoa; Chordata; Mammalia; Rodentia; Heteromyidae. The record is from Ensembl.